GAUGAACGCUGGCGGCGUGCCUAAUACAUGCAAGUCGAGCGAACGGACGAGAAGCUUGCUUCUCUGAUGUUAACGGCGGACGGGUGAGUAACACGUGGAUAACCUACCUAUAAGACUGGGAUAACUUCGGGAAACCGGAGCUAAUACCGGAUAAUAUUUUGAACCGCAUGGUUCAAAAGUGAAAGACGGUCUUGCUGUCACUUAUAGAUGGAUCCGCGCUGCAUUAGCUAGUUGGUAAGGUAACGGCUUACCAAGGCAACGAUGCAUAGCCGACCUGAGAGGGUGAUCGGCCACACUGGAACUGAGACACGGUCCAGACUCCUACGGGAGGCAGCAGUAGGGAAUCUUCCGCAAUGGGCGAAAGCCUGACGGAGCAACGCCGCGUGAGUGAUGAAGGUCCUCGGAUCGUAAAACUCUGUUAUUAGGGAAGAACAUAUGUGUAAGUAACUGUGCACAUCUUGACGGUACCUAAUCAGAAAGCCACGGCUAACUACGUG
Molecule: ribosomal RNA, 497 nt
Filed under: uncultured bacterium
Lineage: Bacteria
Description: partial 16S ribosomal RNA
Rfam family: Bacterial small subunit ribosomal RNA
Source: RNAcentral